Molecule: long non-coding RNA, 512 nt
Organism: Carya illinoinensis
Lineage: Eukaryota; Viridiplantae; Streptophyta; Magnoliopsida; Fagales; Juglandaceae
Exons: 3
Source: RefSeq, a predicted model, not a curated record
CGUUCUCAAUCUCUGCUCUAUGAUGCAACACCUUUGCCUACCUCCCCCCCUCUUCAGAUCCCUCUCUCCCUCUCUCUCAGUCUCGAUUCAAACAUUCUCACCGAUCAUCUCCUUUUUAUCGCGCAGUUCAUCGAAUGGUGGAAGUGCUUUCGGAUCCAAGGAACGUAUUUCCGUUUGGGGCUUUUGAGUGCAUUGGAUGACCGUGAAAUAGUAUCUGUUACUUGUGGAGCUGAUCAUACAAUUACAUAUUCUCUGUCACGUCUGGAAGAUCACUGAGUUCAGAUUUGGUAGAGUAUGAUGAGGUAUUGUGAAAUGAGGGGCAAAAACCUUUUGGAUGCAGGUGUAAUUACACCAACAGAUCUCUAUGAAUGGAUGAAGGCAAAGAAUACUGAUGAAUCAGCCAUUGUUGGCAUUGGCUUGCCUUGUUAUUCAUAGAUAUGUAAUUUUCAUAUAUUGUAGUUGUGUUUUGUAAUGUAAUAUGUAAAUAUCAAAUAAUGUAAUUAGCUAAAAAG